Molecule: ribosomal RNA, 274 nt
Filed under: uncultured prokaryote
Description: partial 16S ribosomal RNA
Rfam family: Bacterial small subunit ribosomal RNA
Source: RNAcentral
UGAGGAAUUUUGCGCAAUGGGAGCAAUCCUGACGCAGCAACGCCGCGUGGGUGAUGAAGGCCUUCGGGUCGUAAAGCCCUGUCAGGUGGGAAGAAUGUCCCGGGACUGAACAGGUUCCGGGAGUGACGGUACCACCCGAGGAAGCACCGGCUACCUCCGUGCCAGCAGCCGCGGUAAUACGGAGGGUGCAAGCGUUAUUCGGAAUUACUGGGCGUAAAGCGCGUGGAGGCGGUCCUGCAAGUCUGAUGUGAAAGCCCCGGGCUUAACCCGGGAA